Molecule: long non-coding RNA, 476 nt
Organism: Pseudopipra pipra
Lineage: Eukaryota; Metazoa; Chordata; Aves; Passeriformes; Pipridae
Exons: 2
Source: RefSeq, a predicted model, not a curated record
AAGAUCCUCAGUCCUUUUAACAGGACAAUAUGAUAUAGAUGUGCAGACACAUAGGGAGUUGUUGUGAUUAUGAAAUUAUCAAGGGUCUGAAAUGCAAGGAAAAGAACUGUAGAUGAGGGGAAGUUAGCUAAUGAUGUUAUUCCAAAAGAUGGAGUUCAUGGAACCUAGACACCAAUGACAAUGUUUUUUGCAUAAAUGAGCAUAAAUGAAAGGAGGAUUCCACUGACAGAUCUCUACAGCUUUGGAUGACACAAGUGGAAGCAAUAUUAGUUAAGGCCAAUACUGACUAAUUUUGAAAAUCUGUGCCAAAUUGUUUUCACUCCUGAAUGAUUUUUCCCUUACCACUCUGGUAGAGCUGUACACCAGCAUGGCAUGAAGUCAGUCUCUGGAACUGAGUGAACGACUGAUCCCCCAGUUCACUGGAUAAAGAACUGGAUAAUUUGUUGGCUAAAAUAAAAGGCUACUCCUUGCUUUCA